This 411-nucleotide ribosomal RNA is filed under the name Sphingomonas sp. oral taxon A66. Its description in RNAcentral is "bacterial SSU rRNA". It matches the Rfam family "Bacterial small subunit ribosomal RNA", at positions 29 to 485 of the family's 1533-position model. Lineage: Bacteria; Pseudomonadati; Pseudomonadota; Alphaproteobacteria; Sphingomonadales; Sphingomonadaceae. The record is from RNAcentral.
AACGAACGCUGGCGGCAUGCCUAACACAUGCAAGUCGAACGAACCCUUCGGGGUUAGUGGCGCACGGGUGCGUAACGCGUGGGAAUCUGCCCUUUGCUUCGGAAUAACAGUUAGAAAUGACUGCUAAUACCGGAUGAUGUCUUCGGACCAAAGAUUUAUCGGCAAAGGAUGAGCCCGCGUAGGAUUAGGUAGUUGGUGGGGUAAAGGCCUACCAAGCCGACGAUCCUUAGCUGGUCUGAGAGGAUGAUCAGCCACACUGGGACUGAGACACGGCCCAGACUCCUACGGGAGGCAGCAGUGGGGAAUAUUGGACAAUGGGCGCAAGCCUGAUCCAGCAAUGCCGCGUGAGUGAUGAAGGCCUUCGGGUCGUAAAGCUCUUUUACCAGGGAUGAUAAUGACAGUACCUGGAGA